This is a long non-coding RNA of Silurus meridionalis, 1070 nucleotides long. RefSeq lists it as uncharacterized. The record is from RefSeq and is a predicted model, not a curated record. The transcript is spliced from 3 exons. Lineage: Eukaryota; Metazoa; Chordata; Actinopteri; Siluriformes; Siluridae.
GCAGCGCGCGGGGUGUGUCGUGUCCCCGUUACAGUAAAUACGAGUUACUGCAAGACAGAGCCAAUGAUAACGAACACCGAUGGAGCUCGCGCUUAACCAUCGACGCGACUUUGGAGCAACUUUUAAGUGUCGUCGCGUGCAUGUUAGUAGCAGCCAACCAACCCUGGCUGGAGGGAUGCACUGUACAUACACACAAUACUGGAAAAUAUGAUUAGCAAGCCCACCCUGGCUUUGCUGGACAGUAGGAGCACCAUCACCCUGGCCUGGCUAAUGAUCCUGAUCCAGGCCCCUAGGGCGGGGCCAUCUCAAACUCCUUUGUGCAGAAGGAUGUCCAUGAAGUCCAUGCCACCAAAGUCUGUAAAGGGCAAACACCUCAGGACAUCCAGCUGCACAGACUAAUGGAAUGGAGGAACUAUGAUAAUACAUCUGAAACAGUGCUUGCCGCUGUGCUCGUCUAAACCUUCUAGGGAGAGGAACACCCCAUGUUGUAUGUCAUUUAGAAACUGACAACUGCUGACUAGAGAUAUGUCACAGUAGAACGAGAAGUCUUGGCUACGAAAUGGUCUGCUGAAGAACUUGCAGACAGCAACUUUCUCCUUUCACAUACCAUGGUCCAUUUCAGAAAAUGGCUUGACACAAUUGCCUAUGUAGCCUGUUGGUCUCUCUCUUUACAGAACGUCUGAUUUAAGGUUUAGCACCAAGCAGGGGCCAACCACAGCAAUUCAGAUGGGCUAGGUAUGGGCUCUCUCUUUACAGAACGUCUGAUUUAAGGUUUAGCACCAAGCAGGGGCCAACCACAGCAAUUCAGAUGGGCUAGGUAUGGGUUAUGGGCACAAACACCAACGUCAGUAGGCCAUAGCUAAGGGGGGUACUGUGAUCACAUGCCUCCAGCCCACACCCACCAGGGAGAGCACUCUCCUAGCAUGACUGCAGUGAGUUACAACAAUAAAAUGCAGAUAAUUUUGGUUUCUCAAAUAUCUAAACAUAGAUUCUGUUUAAUCUAUUUUAAGCAAUAUUAUUUUUCGAUGAAAUGAAACAGGAUUCAGACCAGAUCUGUGUCUGUGUACUCC